Molecule: unclassified non-coding RNA, 353 nt
Filed under: Hevea brasiliensis (rubber tree)
Lineage: Eukaryota; Viridiplantae; Streptophyta; Magnoliopsida; Malpighiales; Euphorbiaceae
Source: RNAcentral
AUUUCACUUAUAGGUAGCUUAGCUGGUGGAAGAACAUCAGAUGCGAUUGGUAGAAAGUGGACGAUGGGGUUCGCUGCUGUUAUUUUUCAAAUAGGUGCAGCUGUAAUGACUAUUGCUCCUUCGUUCGAAAUACUAAUGGUAGGAAGGAUUUUAGCUGGUGUUGGCAUAGGCUUUGGCGUCAUGAUUGCACCCGUCUAUAUAGCUGAGAUAUCACCAACUAUUGCUAGAGGCUCACUCACAUCAUUUCCUGAGAUUUUUAUCAAUCUAGGCAUUUUACUUGGCUAUGUAUCAAAUUAUGCAUUCUCCGGUCUUUCAGCACAUAUAAGCUGGCGGGUAAUGCUUGCUGUUGGAAU